RNAcentral lists this ribosomal RNA (632 nucleotides) under uncultured organism. RNAcentral's name for it is "bacterial SSU rRNA". It matches the Rfam family "Bacterial small subunit ribosomal RNA", at positions 60 to 664 of the family's 1533-position model. The record is from RNAcentral.
AGUCGCACGAGAACACCUCAGCUUGCUGGGGUAAGUAAAGUGGCGCACGGGUGAGUAACGCGUGGGUAAUCUGCCCCUGAAUCUGGGAUAACGCUGCGAAAGCGGUGCUAAUACCGGAUGACAUCGAAUUGACUUCGGUUGAUUGGAUCACAGGUAGCCACUCCAUGGAAGCUACUGUUUGGGGAUGAGCCCGCGUACCAUUAGCUUGUUGGUAGGGUAACGGCCUACCAAGGCGACGAUGGUUAGCUGGUCUGAGAGGAUGAUCAGCCACACUGGAACUGGAACACGGUCCAGACUCCUACGGGAGGCAGCAGUGAGGAAUUUUGCGCAAUGAGGGAAACCUUGACGCAGCAACGCCGCGUGAGUGAUGAAGGCUUUCGGGUCGUAAAGCUCUGUCAAGUGGGAAGAAAUCCCGGGAAGUGAACAGUUUUUCGGGUUGACGGUACCACUGAAGGAAGCACCGGCUAACUCCGUGCCAGCAGCCGCGGUAAUACGGAGGGUGCGAGCGUUAUUCGGAAUUACUGGGCGUAAAGGGCGCGCAGGCGGUCAUGUAAGUCAGAUGUGAAAGCCCGGGGCUUAACCCUGGAAGUGCAUUUGAAACUGUGUGACUUGAGUAUGGGAGAGGGAAGCGG